Molecule: ribosomal RNA, 253 nt
Filed under: uncultured bacterium
Lineage: Bacteria
Description: partial 16S ribosomal RNA
Rfam family: Bacterial small subunit ribosomal RNA
Source: RNAcentral
UACGAAGGGGGCUAGCGUUGCUCGGAAUCACUGGGCGUAAAGCGCACGUAGGCGGAUUGUUAAGUCAGGGGUGAAAUCCUGGAGCUCAACUCCAGAACUGCCUUUGAUACUGGCGAUCUUGAGUCCGGGAGAGGUGAGUGGAACUCCGAGUGUAGAGGUGAAAUUCGUAGAUAUUCGGAAGAACACCAGUGGCGAAGGCGGCUCACUGGCCCGGUACUGACGCUGAUGUGCGAAAGCGUGGGGAGCGAACAGG